Long non-coding RNA from Oncorhynchus tshawytscha (Chinook salmon), 452 nucleotides. The record is from Ensembl. Lineage: Eukaryota; Metazoa; Chordata; Actinopteri; Salmoniformes; Salmonidae.
GUGGGUGCUGCUCAUGAUCAUCUUGUCUAGGUGGGUUAGGGGUUAGGUGGGUGCUGCUCAUGAUCAUCUAGUCUAGGUGGGUUAGGGGUUAGGUGGGUGCUGCUCAUGAUCAUCUUGUCUAGGUGGGUUAGGGGUUAGGGUUAGGGGUUAGGGGUUAGGUGGGUGCUGCUCAUGAUCAUCUAGUCUAGGUGGGUUAGGGGCUAGGGGUUAGGGGUUAGGUGGGUGCUGCUCAUGAUCAUCUAGUCUAGGUGGGUUAGGGGCUUGGGGUUAGGGGUUAGGGGUUAUGUGGGUGCUGCUCAUGAUCAUCUAGUCUAGGUGGGUUAGGGUUAGGGGUUAGGGUUAGGGGUUAGGGAUUAGGUGGGUGCUGCUCAUGAUCAUCUAGUCUAGGUGGGUUAGGGGCUAGGGGUUAGGGGUUAGGUGGGUGCUGCUCAUGAUCAUCUAGUCUAGGUGGG